GGGUUGUGAGGUUAAGCGACUAAGCGUACACGGUGGAUGCCCUGGCAGUCAGAGGCGAUGAAGGACGUGCUAAUCUGCGAUAAGCGUCGGUAAGGUGAUAUGAACCGUUAUAACCGGCGAUUUCCGAAUGGGGAAACCCAGUGUGUUUCGACACACUAUCAUUAACUGAAUCCAUAGGUUAAUGAGGCGAACCGGGGGAACUGAAACAUCUAAGUACCCCGAGGAAAAGAAAUCAACCGAGAUUCCCCCAGUAGCGGCGAGCGAACGGGGAGCAGCCCAGAGCCUGAAUCAGUGUGUGUGUUAGUGGAAGCGUCUGGAAAGGCGCGCGAUACAGGGUGACAGCCCCGUACACAAAAAUGCACAUGCUGUGAGCUCGAUGAGUAGGGCGGGACACGUGGUAUCCUGUCUGAAUAUGGGGGGACCAUCCUCCAAGGCUAAAUACUCCUGACUGACCGAUAGUGAACCAGUACCGUGAGGGAAAGGCGAAAAGAACCCCGGCGAGGGGAGUGAAAAAGAACCUGAAACCGUGUACGUACAAGCAGUGGGAGCACGCUUAGGCGUGUGACUGCGUACCUUUUGUAUAAUGGGUCAGCGACUUAUAUUCUGUAGCAAGGUUAACCGAAUAGGGGAGCCGAAGGGAAACCGAGUCUUAACUGGGCGUUAAGUUGCAGGGUAUAGACCCGAAACCCGGUGAUCUAGCCAUGGGCAGGUUGAAGGUUGGGUAACACUAACUGGAGGACCGAACCGACUAAUGUUGAAAAAUUAGCGGAUGACUUGUGGCUGGGGGUGAAAGGCCAAUCAAACCGGGAGAUAGCUGGUUCUCCCCGAAAGCUAUUUAGGUAGCGCCUCGUGAAUUCAUCUCCGGGGGUAGAGCACUGUUUCGGCAAGGGGGUCAUCCCGACUUACCAACCCGAUGCAAACUGCGAAUACCGGAGAAUGUUAUCACGGGAGACACACGGCGGGUGCUAACGUCCGUCGUGAAGAGGGAAACAACCCAGACCGCCAGCUAAGGUCCCAAAGUCAUGGUUAAGUGGGAAACGAUGUGGGAAGGCCCAGACAGCCAGGAUGUUGGCUUAGAAGCAGCCAUCAUUUAAAGAAAGCGUAAUAGCUCACUGGUCGAGUCGGCCUGCGCGGAAGAUGUAACGGGGCUAAACCAUGCACCGAAGCUGCGGCAGCGACGCUUAUGCGUUGUUGGGUAGGGGAGCGUUCUGUAAGCCUGCGAAGGUGUGCUGUGAGGCAUGCUGGAGGUAUCAGAAGUGCGAAUGCUGACAUAAGUAACGAUAAAGCGGGUGAAAAGCCCGCUCGCCGGAAGACCAAGGGUUCCUGUCCAACGUUAAUCGGGGCAGGGUGAGUCGACCCCUAAGGCGAGGCCGAAAGGCGUAGUCGAUGGGAAACAGGUUAAUAUUCCUGUACUUGGUGUUACUGCGAAGGGGGGACGGAGAAGGCUAUGUUGGCCGGGCGACGGUUGUCCCGGUUUAAGCGUGUAGGCUGGUUUUCCAGGCAAAUCCGGAAAAUCAAGGCUGAGGCGUGAUGACGAGGCACUACGGUGCUGAAGCAACAAAUGCCCUGCUUCCAGGAAAAGCCUCUAAGCAUCAGGUAACAUCAAAUCGUACCCCAAACCGACACAGGUGGUCAGGUAGAGAAUACCAAGGCGCUUGAGAGAACUCGGGUGAAGGAACUAGGCAAAAUGGUGCCGUAACUUCGGGAGAAGGCACGCUGAUAUGUAGGUGAAGUCCCUCGCGGAUGGAGCUGAAAUCAGUCGAAGAUACCAGCUGGCUGCAACUGUUUAUUAAAAACACAGCACUGUGCAAACACGAAAGUGGACGUAUACGGUGUGACGCCUGCCCGGUGCCGGAAGGUUAAUUGAUGGGGUUAGCGCAAGCGAAGCUCUUGAUCGAAGCCCCGGUAAACGGCGGCCGUAACUAUAACGGUCCUAAGGUAGCGAAAUUCCUUGUCGGGUAAGUUCCGACCUGCACGAAUGGCGUAAUGAUGGCCAGGCUGUCUCCACCCGAGACUCAGUGAAAUUGAACUCGCUGUGAAGAUGCAGUGUACCCGCGGCAAGACGGAAAGACCCCGUGAACCUUUACUAUAGCUUGACACUGAACAUUGAGCCUUGAUGUGUAGGAUAGGUGGGAGGCUUUGAAGUGUGGACGCCAGUCUGCAUGGAGCCGACCUUGAAAUACCACCCUUUAAUGUUUGAUGUUCUAACGUUGACCCGUAAUCCGGGUUGCGGACAGUGUCUGGUGGGUAGUUUGACUGGGGCGGUCUCCUCCUAAAGAGUAACGGAGGAGCACGAAGGUUGGCUAAUCCUGGUCGGACAUCAGGAGGUUAGUGCAAUGGCAUAAGCCAGCUUGACUGCGAGCGUGACGGCGCGAGCAGGUGCGAAAGCAGGUCAUAGUGAUCCGGUGGUUCUGAAUGGAAGGGCCAUCGCUCAACGGAUAAAAGGUACUCCGGGGAUAACAGGCUGAUACCGCCCAAGAGUUCAUAUCGACGGCGGUGUUUGGCACCUCGAUGUCGGCUCAUCACAUCCUGGGGCUGAAGUAGGUCCCAAGGGUAUGGCUGUUCGCCAUUUAAAGUGGUACGCGAGCUGGGUUUAGAACGUCGUGAGACAGUUCGGUCCCUAUCUGCCGUGGGCGCUGGAGAACUGAGGGGGGCUGCUCCUAGUACGAGAGGACCGGAGUGGACGCAUCACUGGUGUUCGGGUUGUCAUGCCAAUGGCACUGCCCGGUAGCUAAAUGCGGAAGAGAUAAGUGCUGAAAGCAUCUAAGCACGAAACUUGCCCCGAGAUGAGUUCUCCCUGACUCCUUGAGAGUCCUGAAGGAACGUUGAAGACGACGACGUUGAUAGGCCGG
This 2852-nucleotide ribosomal RNA is filed under the name Escherichia coli. RNAcentral describes it as "bacterial LSU rRNA". It matches the Rfam family "Bacterial large subunit ribosomal RNA". The record is from RNAcentral. Lineage: Bacteria; Pseudomonadati; Pseudomonadota; Gammaproteobacteria; Enterobacterales; Enterobacteriaceae.